Lycium ferocissimum is the source of this 2650-nucleotide long non-coding RNA. RefSeq lists it as uncharacterized. Lineage: Eukaryota; Viridiplantae; Streptophyta; Magnoliopsida; Solanales; Solanaceae. The record is from RefSeq and is a predicted model, not a curated record. The transcript is spliced from 3 exons.
AGUAUUUUGAUAGAUUACGUAUAAAUGCUCUUGGAAUACUAUUAUUUUUACUUCUUACCAAACACUAAAAAUUAAGUAAGAAAUUCACUCAUUUUUUUCAAAAAAAAAAAAAAAAAAACUAGGAAAACAAUUUUCAUGAAAAAACAUUUUCCUUCAUACCAAACACAUCCUAAACUCAUAUACCACGUAAAUAAGUGGACCCCCACAAAUCCCCUUGACUGGUGGCUAUAUAAACCACUCUUCUUCUUCCUUUUUCCUUACUAAUUCUUCUUCUCUAUAUACUAAAUUCCUUCUGUUUUUCAGAUGACACCGAAGGAAAACGAUGACGCAGAAGUGAUAGUAGCGGUUCCCCCCGAUAAGGUGCAUUAUAGCGGUGUGAGGAAGAUGUCAUGGGAGAGGUACAUAACUAAGAUCAGAGAUCCUGACUAGAGCACAUGUGUCUAGCACGAAACUUUUGAUACGCUGGAGGAAGCUACUCGGGCCUAUGAAAUAACUAUGUGGCUCUUACGGUGCCACAGGCCUGUAAAUAAUUUUCCUCAGCAACAGAAGAUAACCUCACAAAUGCUAACGACGGCAUUAGGUGUGAGGUCCAGCGUCAGUCAGUGCCUCUCAAUCUUGAGCUUUCCCUUGCACCUGCAGGGAGCAUGUGAAACCGCCUACAUUUGUUAUCCAAUAUUGCAUCACAUUUCUUAAAUCCCUUUUCGUCUAAUUUUAUAAGCAUUAGUUUAAUUUUCAUUUUGUUGCUCUGAAUAUUCAUAAAAAAACUGGAGCACUUGUUUAUUUUUGGAAGAGGAUAAAAAAAUGUCAUGAUAUAUUUUAUACCUAUCAUAGGAAUGUCCCCUGUCGUGAUCUUUUCUCAUAUCUCCUAACAACAAGAAAAGAUGUAGAAAUGCCAACAAAAUGUGAAACUCAUAGCUGCAGAAAAGAUUAGGUAAAAAGAAGGUGGCAUGGCUGCAAAAACACCAGUUGCCUGCGAAAGAGAAGAACUCAAAUCACCAAGCAAUCCCGUUAUUUGCCAAGAAUAUAUAUGGGUUUGAAGGAAAACAGUGACGCAGCAGUGACGGUAACGGUUUCCCCAGAUAAGGUGCAUUAUAGCGGUGUGAGGAAGAUGCCAUGGGAGAGGUACAUAACUAAGAUCAGAGAUCCCGACUACCACGUGUCUGGCUCAAAACUUUGAUAUGCCGGAGGAAGCUGCUCGGGUCUAUGGUAUGGCUAUGUGGCUCUUACGGGGCCACAAGCCUGUAAAUAAUUUUCCUCAGACAACUAAGGUUGACCUCACAAAUGCUAACGACGACAGUGGAUGUGAGGUCCAGAGUCAGCCAGAGCCUCUCAAUCUUGAGCUUUCCCUUGCACCUCCAGGGAGCGUGUGAAACUCUCGACAUUUCUUAUCCAGUAUUGCAUCACAUUUCUUAAAUCCCUUUUUCUUUUAAUUUUAUAAGAACUAGUUUAAUUUUCAUUUUGUUGCUCUGAAUAUCCAUAAAAAAGUUGGAGCUCUUGCUUUUUUUUUUUUGGAACAGGACGAGAAAAGAUCAUGAUAUAUUUUAUUCCUGUCAUACGAAUGUUCCAUGUUAUGAUCUUUUCUCAUAACUCCUAACGACAGGAAAAGAGUGGAAAUGAUGUUAAUUUAGAAAUUUAUGUCUUCUCCAUUGUAUUACUUUUCUGUCUUUGUUUCCUUUCCAAAAUUCUGUUGGAUGAAUUUUUGUGUCUUUAUGUACCAUUCUUUAACACCCAAAAAACAUCGCAGAAUACCUACUCUUUACGUACCAUCCUUUAACACCCAAAAAACAUCGCAGAAUACCUACUCUUUACGUACCAUUCUUUAACACCCAAAAAACAUCGCAGAAUACCUAAAGACCCUCCUAAACUUGGCUUAUUGAAGAAUAUUCAACCAAAUUAUUUCGUGCAAUUUAUGUGCUUUUGAUACAAAAUUGCAGGUGCCGACAAUAUGUGAAACUCAUAUCUGCAUAAAAGAUCAGGUAAAGAGAAGGUGGCAUGGCUGCAAAAACACCAGUUGCCUGAAAAAGAGAAGAACUGAAAUCACCAAGCAAUUCAGUUAUUUGCCCAGAAUAUAUACGGUUUUGGUAGCUUCAAUGCCCAAAUUAUUCAGCCGAUCACCAUAGCUGUCUCUUUAUGUACCAUCCUUUAACACCCAAAAUACAUCGCAGAAUACCUAAAGACCCUCAUAAACUUGUCUUAUUGAAGAAUAAUCGACAAAACCUUACCUAAUAUAUUAACUACAAAUCGAAAUCAAAUUUAAUUUUGUACAUUUUUGGGUUAUCCCCACAAGAACCCUUAGAAAACAUUUUUAGAUCUCUAUAUUUUUUUGAGUUGAGAAAAAAUGACAAAAGUCAAUGAAAAAAGGCUUUAGCUUUCCUUUUUCAUGACGGGGGUGUGGCAUGGCACAUUAGAGAGAUAGAAAACGACAAUAUGGCAUGCAAUUUCAUAACAGUAGUUAGGUACUGGAAGAUACAGAUGUGUGUGCACUACUUUCCACGUAUCAGAAAAGUAUGAAAAUGCCAUCAACUAAGGGUGUGUUCAGUAUGGGAAAAAUAAUUUUUCAAUUUUCUCAUGUCUGGUUGGUCAAAAUAUUUUGGAAAACAUUGUAUAGGAAAACAAGUUCCUUAAAAUGAGGAAAAUGACGUCCCUAAUG